UGAGGAAUAUUGGUCAAUGGGCGAGAGCCUGAACCAGCCAAGUAGCGUGCAGGAUGACGGCCCUAUGGGUUGUAAACUGCUUUUAUGUGGGGAUAAAGUGCGUGACGUGUCAUGCAUUGCAGGUACCACAUGAAUAAGGACCGGCUAAUUCCGUGCCAGCAGCCGCGGUAAUACGGAAGGUCCGGGCGUUAUCCGGAUUUAUUGGGUUUAAAGGGAGCGUAGGCUGUCUAUUAAGCGUGUUGUGAAAUAUACCGGCUCAACCGGUGGCUUGCAGCGCGAACUGGUCGACUUGGGUAUGCAGGAAGUAGGCGGAAUUCAUGGUGUAGCGGUGAAAUGCUUAGAUAUCAUGACGAACUCCGAUUGCGCAGGCAGCUUACUGUAGCAUAACUGACGCUGAUGCUCGAAAGUGCGGGUAUCAAACAGG
This 424-nucleotide ribosomal RNA is filed under the name Fusobacteriota bacterium. Its description in RNAcentral is "Fusobacteria bacterium partial 16S ribosomal RNA". It matches the Rfam family "Bacterial small subunit ribosomal RNA", at positions 355 to 776 of the family's 1533-position model. Lineage: Bacteria; Fusobacteriati; Fusobacteriota. The record is from RNAcentral.